This is a long non-coding RNA of Amblyraja radiata (thorny skate), 161 nucleotides long. RefSeq lists it as uncharacterized. The transcript has 3 exons. NCBI's taxonomy places the organism in Eukaryota, Metazoa, Chordata, Chondrichthyes, Rajiformes, Rajidae. The record is from RefSeq and is a predicted model, not a curated record.
ACCAUCCGUUCUGGUGGUACCACUUUGAACGAUUUGGAGUCUACAACUACAGGUGUAACUGAAUCACCAACUACACCUGGACCAACAACUACAGGUGUAACUGAAUCACCAACUACACCUGGACCAACAACUACAGGUACAACAGAAUCACCAACUACACC